GGCCUACGGGUGGCUGCAGUGGGGAAUAUUGCACAAUGGGCGCAAGCCUGAUGCAGCCAUGCCGCGUGUAUGAAGAAGGCCUUCGGGUUGUAAAGUACUUUCAGCGGGGAGGAAGGUGUUGCGGUUAAUAACCGCAGCAAUUGACGUUACCCGCAGAAGAAGCACCGGCUAGCUCCGUGCCAGCAGCCGCGGUAAUACGGAGGGUGCAAGCGUUAAUCGGAAUUACUGGGCGUAAAGCGCACGCAGGCGGUCUGUGAAGGCGGAGGUGAAAUCCCCGGGCUCAACCUGGGAACUGCAUUCGAAACUGGCAGGCUAGAGUCUUGUAGAGGGGGGUAGAAUUCCAGGUGUAGCGGUGAAAUGCGUAGAGAUCUGGAGGAAUACCGGUGGCGAAGGCGGCCCCCUGGACAAAGACUGACGCUCAGGUGCGAAAGCGUGGGGAGCAAACAGGAUUAGAUACCCCGGUAGUCCC
Molecule: ribosomal RNA, 469 nt
Filed under: uncultured Citrobacter sp.
Lineage: Bacteria; Pseudomonadati; Pseudomonadota; Gammaproteobacteria; Enterobacterales; Enterobacteriaceae
Description: bacterial SSU rRNA
Rfam family: Bacterial small subunit ribosomal RNA
Source: RNAcentral